CCUACGGGGGGCAGCAGUCGAGAAUCAUUCACAAUGGGGGAAACCCUGAUGGUGCGACGCCGCGUGGGGGAAUGAAGGUCUUCGGAUUGUAAACCCCUGUCAUGUGGGAGCAAAUUAAAAAGAUAGUACCACAAGAGGAAGAGACGGCUAACUCUGUGCCAGCAGCCGCGGUAAUACAGAGGUCUCAAGCGUUGUUCGGAAUCACUGGGCGUAAGGCGUGCGUAGGCUGUUUCGUAAGUCGUGUGUGAAAGGCGCGGGCUCAACCCGCGGACGGCACAUGAUACUGCGAGACUAGAGUAAUGGAGGGGGAACCGGAAUUCUCGGUGUAGCAGUGAAAUGCGUAGAUAUCGAGAGGAACACUCGUGGCGAAGCGGGUUCCUGGACAUUAACUGACGCUGAGGCACGAAGGCCAGGGGAGCGAAAGGGAUUAGAUACCCGAGUAGUC
This 445-nucleotide ribosomal RNA is filed under the name uncultured bacterium. RNAcentral describes it as "partial 16S ribosomal RNA". It matches the Rfam family "Bacterial small subunit ribosomal RNA", at positions 338 to 795 of the family's 1533-position model. The record is from RNAcentral.